AGAGUUUGAUUCUGGCUCAGAACUAACGCUGGCGGCGCGUCUUAAACAUGCAAGUCGAACGGUAUACCUUGAGCUUGCUUAGGGUAGAGAGUGGCGAACGGGUGAGUAACGCGUGGGGAAUCUGCCUCUGGGAUGGGGAUAACGUUCCGAAAGGAACGCUAAUACCGAAUACGCUCCAUGAGACGACGGUUUUGUGGAGGAAAGGUGGGGACCGCAAGGCCUACCGUCCAGAGAUGACCCUGCGUCCCAUUAGCUAGUUGGCGGGGUAAAGGCCCACCAAGGCGACGAUGGGUAGCCGGCCUGAGAGGGUGUCCGGCCACAUUGGGACUGAGAUACGGCCCAGACUCCUACGGGAGGCAGCAGUUAAGAAUCUUGGACAAUGGACGAAAGUCUGAUCCAGCGACGCCGCGUGAGCGAUGAAGGUCUUCGGAUUGUAAAGCUCAGUAGAUGGGAAGAAGAAGCAAGGGGAAAUAUUCCUUGUGGUGACGGUACCAUCCUAAAGCUUCGGCUAAAUACGUGCCAGCAGCCGCGGUAAUACGUAUGAAGCAAGCGUUGUUCGGAAUUAUUGGGCGUAAAGGGCAUCUAGGCGGGAUGUUAAGUCAGGUGUGAAAGUCCAGGGCUCAACCCUGGGAUUGCAUUUGAUACUGACAUUCUUGAGUUCGAUAGAGGAAGGCGGAAUACCCGGUGUAGCGGUGAAAUGCGUAGAUAUCGGGUAGAACACCGGUGGCGAAGGCGGCCUUCUGGAUCUGGACUGACGCUGACAUGCGAAAGUGUGGGGAUCAAACGGGAUUAGAUACCCCGGUAGUCCACACCGUAAACGUUGUAUACUAGGUGUUCGGGGUUUCACCCUGAGUGCCGACGCUAACGCAUUAAGUAUACCGCCUGGGGAGUACGCUCGCAAGAGUGAAACUCAAAGAAAUUGACGGGGGCCCGCGCAAGCGGUGGAGCAUGUGGUUUAAUUCGAUGGUACGCGAGAAACCUUACCCGGGCUUGAACUGUACGUGACCGGCGCAGAGAUGCGCCUUUCCUUCGGGACACGUAUAGAGGUGCUGCAUGGUUGUCGUCAGCUCGUGUCGUGAGAUGUUGGGUUAAGUCCCGCAACGAGCGCAACCCCUAUCGUCUGUUGCUACCAGGUCAAGCUGGGCACUCUGACGAAACUGCCGGUGAUAAACCGGAGGAAGGUGGGGAUGACGUCAAAUCAUCACGGCCCUUAUGUCCGGGGCUACACACGUGCUACAAUGGCCGGUACAAAGAGAAGCAAAUCCGCGAGGUGGAGCAAAUCUCAAAAAACCGGUCUCAGUUCGGAUUGCUCUCUGCAACUCGAGAGCAUGAAGUCGGAAUCGCUAGUAAUCGCAGAUCAGCACGCUGCGGUGAAUACGUUCCCGGGCCUUGUACACACCGCCCGUCACACCAUCUGAGUUGGUAGCGCCCGAAGUGGCUGGUCUAACCCGCAAGGGAUGAAGGUUACUAAGGUGAAACCGGUGAAGAGGGUGAAGUCGAAACAAGGUA
Molecule: ribosomal RNA, 1509 nt
Filed under: metagenome
Description: bacterial SSU rRNA
Rfam family: Bacterial small subunit ribosomal RNA
Source: RNAcentral